Molecule: ribosomal RNA, 340 nt
Filed under: uncultured Polaromonas sp.
Lineage: Bacteria; Pseudomonadati; Pseudomonadota; Betaproteobacteria; Burkholderiales; Comamonadaceae
Description: bacterial SSU rRNA
Rfam family: Bacterial small subunit ribosomal RNA
Source: RNAcentral
UGCUGCAUGGCUGUCGUCAGUCUCGUGUCGUGAGAUGUUGGGUUAAGUCCGCAACGAGCGCAACCCUUGUCAUUAGUUGCUACAUUCAGUUGGCACUCUAAUGAGACUGCCGGUGACAAACCGGAGGAAGGUGGGGAUGACGUCAAGUCCUCAUGGCCCUUAUAGGUAGGGCUACACACGUCAUACAAUGGAUGGUACAAAGGGUCGCCAACCCGCGAGGGGGAGCCAAUCCCAUAAAACCAUUCGUAGUCCGGAUCGCAGUCUGCAACUCGACUGCGUGAAGUCGGAAUCGCUAGUAAUCGUGGAUCAGAAUGUCACGGUGAAUACGUUCCCGGGUCUU